GCAAAUUAGAUAAAAUUGAUUGUACUACUGAUUAGAUAAAAAAAAAAAAAGUAGUAAGAAAUUAGAUUUUUUUUUCUUAAUGACGCCAGAAGAGUCUUUCUGUAGCACCGCCAUUUUCUCACUUUAACGUUGUGAUGUUCUUGCUGGAGUUUCUCCUCAAAUACCUGCGUCGGUUAUCUUUCAAAUUUGUUUUGGCAGACAGUACAAACCAGCUCUUCAUCGUGUUAAUUGAGCCGUGGACCUUCAUCUUAGUCAGUUUAAGAAUUACACCUGAUCUUCCUGUUUCUGUCCUGACUAAGAGGAUCCAGUACACUUGAUCGAAUUACACCUGAUCUUCCUGUUUCUGUCCUGACUAAGAGGAUCCAGUAGACUCGAUAGGAAACCGACAUUGAAGACCAUGUGACGGCAGGAAUGGAUGUGGGCAUUCUCAUAAUUCCUGAUGGAGAUGAUGCCCUUGACUACUACGUGGUGCUGGAGGAACAGAUUGCCCUGAGAGAUGCCAUAGACCUCCCUCAUGCUGCCGCUCUACUAGUCGGGCUGAUUUUUGCGCUUAAUAUUGAUUAUCCCAAAAAACUACGCUACACAUUUGAGGUCAUUCAAAAGAUUUUCAUUGACCUUGGAGGUGAUCAGUGUUCUGGUGCAUGGACUGAAAAAUAGACUACUUCGCAAAACUGUGUAGUGUCCUAACUGAAAGGUAUAUGAUGUGUGCCUUUUUGUUCAUGAUUUAGCCUGGUGAAUUUCUGGUUGUUUUAAAACGAUGAAUGUUCAAUUCUUGACGUGGUACUUUAUGCAGUGCUAAUAUAUGUAACUCAAUAUAAAAAUAUCUUGUUUGAUUUUUAGACACUUGUUUUCUGUUUAUACAGUGUUAUUGUUAAUGUACAUUAAGUCAAGUCACCUUUAUUUAUAUAGCGCUUUUAACAAUACAGAUUGUGUCAAAGCACUUAACAGUAUCAAAUUGGAGGACAGAGUGUCAGUAAUGUAUAAGAUUAAACACUCAAUUUUCAGUUAAAGUCAUUUCAUUAUUGAGUUCAGAGAUGUCAUUGUGUAGCUCAGUUUAGUUUAAAUAGUAUCUGUGCAAUGAAAUCGGCAAUAAUCGCUAGAAAUUAAGUGUCCCCAACUGAGCAAGCCAGAGGCGUUACUUUGUUUGUACAGUAUUGUUCAUGCAGUGCAUUUGUUUUAUGCAGUACAGCAC
Onychostoma macrolepis is the source of this 1192-nucleotide long non-coding RNA. RefSeq lists it as uncharacterized. The record is from RefSeq and is a predicted model, not a curated record. Lineage: Eukaryota; Metazoa; Chordata; Actinopteri; Cypriniformes; Cyprinidae. The transcript has 4 exons.